AUUGAACGCUGGCGGCAGGCUUAACACAUGCAAGUCGAGCGAGCGGCGGACGGGUGAGUAAUGUCUGGGAAACUGCCUGAUGGAGGGGGAUAACUACUGGAAACGGUCGCUAAUACCGCAUACCAUCAGAUGUGCCCAAAUGGGAUUAGCUAGUGGGGGGGGUAAUGGCUCACCAAGGCGACGAUCCCUAGCUGGUCUGAGAGGAUGACCAGCCACACUGGGACUGAGACACGGUCCGGACUCCUACGGGAGGCAGCAGUGGGGAAUAUUGCACAAUGGGCGCAAGCCUGAUGCAGCCAUGCCGCGUGUGUGAAGAAGGCCUUCGGGUUGUAAAGCACUUUCAGCAAGGAGGCGUUACUCGCAGAAGAAGCACCGGCUAACUCCGUGCCAGCAGCCGCGGUAAUAC
RNAcentral lists this ribosomal RNA (406 nucleotides) under uncultured bacterium. RNAcentral's name for it is "partial 16S ribosomal RNA". It matches the Rfam family "Bacterial small subunit ribosomal RNA", at positions 30 to 526 of the family's 1533-position model. The record is from RNAcentral.